GUCUGCAGAGGUGGAACCAGGACUUGAGUCUGCUUGGCAGUACUGCUGAACUGUGUCCUUGUUAGCUUCAGAGAAAGCACCCUGAUGAAGAACAAUGCAGAAUCUGGAGUAGUUGCUGCAGCAUCACACAUUUUAAAAAUCGCAGAUAUUCAUU
Molecule: long non-coding RNA, 154 nt
Organism: Sander lucioperca (pikeperch)
Lineage: Eukaryota; Metazoa; Chordata; Actinopteri; Perciformes; Percidae
Exons: 3
Source: RefSeq, a predicted model, not a curated record